Molecule: ribosomal RNA, 260 nt
Filed under: uncultured bacterium
Lineage: Bacteria
Description: partial 16S ribosomal RNA
Rfam family: Bacterial small subunit ribosomal RNA
Source: RNAcentral
GGCAGGUACAGAGGGGUGCUACCGGGUGACCGGAUGCCGAUCUCGAAAACCUGUCCCAGUUCGGACUGGAGUCUGCAACCCGACUCCACGAAGUUGGAUUCGCUAGUAAUCGCGCAUCAGCCAUGGCGCGGUGAAUACGUUCCCGGGCCUUGUACACACCGCCCGUCAAGCCAUGGGAGCCGGGGGCGCCUGAAGUCCGGGACCGCGAGGACCGGCCUAAGGCGAAACUGGUGACUGGGGCUAAGUCGUAACAAGGUAAC